GAUGAACGCUGGCGGCGUGCCUAAUACAUGCAAGUCGAGCGAACUGAUUAGAAGCUUGCUUCUAUGACGUUAGCGGCGGACGGGUGAGUAACACGUCGGCAACCUGCCUGUAAGACUGGGAUAACUUCGGGAAACUGAAGCUAAUACCGGAUAGGAUCUUCUCAUUCAUGGGUGAUGAUUGAAAGAUGGUUUCGGCUAUCACUUACAGAUGGGCUCGCGGUGCAUUAGCUAGUUGGUGAGGUAACGGCUCACCAAGGCAACGAUGCAUAGCCGACCUGAGAGGGUGAUCGGCCACACUGGGACUGAGACACGGCCCAGACUCCUACGGGAGGCAGCAGUAGGGAAUCUUCCGCAAUGGACGAAAGUCUGACGGAGCAACGCCGCGUGAGUGAUGAAGGCUUUCGGGUCGUAAAACUCUGUUGUUAGGGAAGAACAAGUACAAGAGUAACUGCUUGUACCUUGACGGUACCUAACCAGAAAGCCACGGCUAACUACGUGCCAGCCGCCGCAGUAA
This 514-nucleotide ribosomal RNA is filed under the name uncultured bacterium. RNAcentral describes it as "partial 16S ribosomal RNA". It matches the Rfam family "Bacterial small subunit ribosomal RNA", at positions 28 to 523 of the family's 1533-position model. The record is from RNAcentral.